CCCUCACGCCGCGGCCCCGCCACUCCCGCCUUCACCCUCAAGCCGCGGGUCCGGCCGCUCCCGCCUUCCCCCUCACGGAGCGCGGCGCCGGCGGCUCCGAGCUGUGAGGGGGGAGCGGGGCGCCCUCGGUGAAAGCGCCUAAAACGCAACGCACAGACCACAGACCUCCCCCCACCUCAGCCCUCUAAUCUAAACGGCACCUUUAGUUUAAACAGAAAUCAAUCUCCGGCCCAAAUAGGCCGGGAUUUGGCUCACCUGCGGCGCCCGUCGCCUGGACCCGGAGGAGGUGCCGGCUGUCUGGAAAACCAGGGUUGAGAAAACCGAGGGAUUUUCUGCAGGCUUGAUGUAACCCGCAGCAGGCUGUUGCAUCAAAGACUAGAAAAAGAACCCGGGACAAAAAUAAUCUUUUAAGUGCGUGCAGCUAAGAUUAGUGCAGCGUGUCAAGAUGUUGCUGAGCGCUACAGAACGAGUCCUCCUGCCUGUACCAACACAGAAAUACUACUUUUCUGACAUCUGCAACCCUGAGUAUCCAAAUUUUAUACCAAAGUGAUGUUUAGGGAUAGGAUCCCACCAUACAAUUUUGGCUUUAAAUUCAAGCUUCCCUCCCUUCUAGAUGUUUGGCUUGAGGGUUUAGAUGUGGCUCGUCAUAAAGACACAAGAUCCAUAUGAAAUUCUGAAUUUGUACUGUGAAUGUGUUCAAACCUGCUGUAUUGGUUUACCUCAUCCCUCUGAGAAAUCCGACCAAAUAGGAGAAUAUAAAAGCAAAAAAGUACAGAACAGGGCUUUUUUCCCCCACAUGCUUUUAUUAAUUUGAUUGUUUAUAGCAGAAAUGCUGCUCCUCCUACCCCUCAGGUAGGAAACGCCACAGCUGACACAAGCCAGUCUCUACCCGGGCAGCAGCAUUAAAUUAUUUAAAGUGCUGGUAGAAAUUUUUCCAAAUCAGUUUCUGCUAUGUUUUAAUCCUGGAAAUGCUUUUCAAGUAAAUAGCAAUGGUGAAGUGGCUUGUGAUAGUAAUUUUGAUAUGCAAAGUGUUCUGUUCUCUCUGCCCUUGCUGGUUUUUCACGUGGGCAUAAUUUUUAGCCUUCAGUGUUAACACCCAAGAUUAAUGGGUAUGUUCCUACUUCUAAGAGUAUUGUUUCAGCUGCUGUUAUACUGAGGCAAAAUCCCCGCACAGAUGUACGAAUAGUUCACUUUGCAGGGUUUAAGUUCACAGCCAUGAAAAUGUUCUUGACUAUUCGUAAUGGAAACUUUCAUUUUAGAGAAACAAAGUUCUUAAAUAUUCUGUGGCAGUCUUCAGCUCAUUUUAUAGGUAAAAUUUUUUGUAGAUGUCUUUGAUUUGCUGUUGAUUUAUUUCCCUCCACCAUUUCUGUCCUUCUAGGAUUAUCUGCAUUUAAUUACACAUUGUGUCAAGGUCAACAAAUUGCUGUCGAGGAUGGGGAUCUCGCUGUGCAAGGCCUGACAAACACCAGAGGAGUUUCUGCCCAAUGCUGCCAUCACAGCCAACGUGCCGAUUUGCUUCCUCAAGAUUUCAGAGUGUGCAUCUGAGAAUUCUGACUGUGCAUCAUAAAGUUUCCCUCAGCAACUGCUAAAACUAUUCACAAGGCACUGCAGCAUGGAGCAGCUCUCAAAGAUGGGAUGGACUUUCAAUACUUAUGCAUCUAGUCAGGAAACACAUCGUGCAGAAUGAAAAAAAAAGAAGAAAUGGCACUUUCAUGUUUCUGUUUGCAAGCUGGAUUGAUCACUCCUCAGCUAUUAGCUACAGAGUCACAGAUGGAUGCUGGUUUGCUGGAAAAUAAAUGAAGCACAAGGAUGACUUCAAACAUUUGCAGGAGCCAUGCUGACACUCAAAAUAUAGAAACAUCAAGUAACUUUCCUGGUGAGAUCAUAAAAGCAGAGCCACAGUGAUCAAAGAAGAAAAUGCAAGACUCUUACUCCAUUCCUAAUACAAGAUCCAUUCUCCUUCUGGGACCAGGAGCCUCCAUGGCACAGAGAUGCUCCCAUAGUCUACAAAUACAGUACAUAAGCUACGGGACCAGAUGGCUCCCACACAUAAUGCUCUGAAUCAUGGCAAGGCUCGAGGUGUUUGUUCUGUGGCACAGCAAACACACGCUGGACCAGGUUAAACCCCCUCUCAGCCACAUAUGGUGCACGCUGUGUGGAGCUGCAGCAGGUGCCUAUGGAUCCACACAGAGGAAGAUCCUUUUCUUCUUGCAGGUUGUCAGGAAAAUGACUGUCAUACCUUCAGCACAAAUAGCAGGGAAUAGAGGCAGUGCAGUAACACAUGGCACAGGACAGAUGCUCAGUGCUUCCUGGGAUGCACAAUGCCUGAUGGCAAGGAAUCCUGGCGGGCCAAGGACAGGAGGGUCUUGUUCCCCCUCUGAUUUCUCCAUGCAGCUUGUGAUUAAACUGGUGCUGACACCUUGCCUGGUGCCUGUUUGCACAGCCAAUAGCCCUGGGCAGGACUUCUGGCCGUAAAGCACCUACUGGAAAAGGAGAGAAUCUCAUUGUUUGAGAGCAUCUUUGCCCCUGGCAUUUGUUAAAUAGAAAAUAAAACUGAUUUUCUCCUCACUUGCCUCACGUAGAUGUGGGGUAGAUUCAAGCUGUGGCAGCCCUGUGAAAUGAGGGUGAAUGGGGAGGUGUUUGCCAAUGGAACAACCAUUGCUCAGGAAGACAAGGCUGGAGGGAUUGCACAGCAUGUGAUGUGUGCUUCAGUGACAAGACCAUAAACACCACCCUGUAGUUGUCCCUCACUGAUCCAUCACACUUCUGAGCACUGAAAAACCCUGUAGUAAUGAAGGUGCUUUUUCAAUACCUAGGAGAUGGCUGUUUCAGAGAAUUCCAGCCUGCCAUGCUGGGGCUCAGCGCAAGCACCAAAUCCCAGGGUGGCUGAGGGAUGUCCUGGAUCGCACGGUGGAUACGGUGUGUGUGCCUCAGGCCACACAAUGAGGGAGCAGCCAAGCAUCUGGCCACUCUCCAAUGGCCACACUCCACCUCAAGUAUUUUCUGAGAUGAGAAAAUUACCCUUUGGCUGUUUUUCAGCUUGCUUUCCUUGGGAUGCAUUUGACAUGCCCUCCUUGUUGGGAGUGACAGGACACCUCGUGAGCAGGUGCUGUACUGUCCCCAUCAGGGACUGGAGCAGUGACCAGGAAUGUCACAACUGCAGCCUGUGCUGAGCAGCUCUGAUGAAGGUUAAACAUGUGCUGCCACCACCUCUGAGGUCAGCGUUGGGCUCACUUUAGCAGUCCUAUAAAUAGAUGACCAAGGUUGACUGAAAAGAGGAUUUGGCUCGGCUGGAUCUUGUUUAGCAUUCCCAAGAGAGGAAGGCAGAUUCUUUUCCCUCUUCUCUUCCAGCCUCUAACCUUGAGUUGGUCUCUGUGGGAAGCAUUAGUGGCAUUUGCCAAAAGAGCUGCCGCCGUGAGCCGGAUGUCCUGCUGUGUCACACAAACCACACGUACACGUCUCUUCAACCUGCUAACCCAGACCUAAUUCCACUAAAGCCUCAAACUAAUUCCUCGCCAGCAAAACUAGGGAAAAAACCCAAACAAACCUUGAGCCUAAUUGCUUGAAAACAGUAGGACACCUAGUGGAUUUAUAGGGAAUAUCUUUGGGAUUAUCAGAAACAUUUUGUCAUUUUCUUGGCAAAACCAACUGUGAAUAUAUUUAUAGAGGAAUCAUUGAAAUAUCGGGGUUUCUAUUUACUAAAUUAAUCUUGUUAUAGCUGUUACAGCCUGCAGUUUUCCUGAAGAAGUUAUU
This is a long non-coding RNA of Lepidothrix coronata (blue-crowned manakin), 3753 nucleotides long. RefSeq lists it as uncharacterized. NCBI's taxonomy places the organism in Eukaryota, Metazoa, Chordata, Aves, Passeriformes, Pipridae. The record is from RefSeq and is a predicted model, not a curated record. The transcript is spliced from 5 exons.